GGUUAAGCGACUAAGCGUACACGGUGGAUGCCCUGGCAGUCAGAGGCGAUGAAGGACGUGCUAAUCUGCGAUAAGCGUCGGUAAGGUGAUAUGAACCGUUAUAACCGGCGAUUUCCGAAUGGGGAAACCCAGUGUGAUUCGUCACACUAUCAUUAACUGAAUCCAUAGGUUAAUGAGGCGAACCGGGGGAACUGAAACAUCUAAGUACCCCGAGGAAAAGAAAUCAACCGAGAUUCCCCCAGUAGCGGCGAGCGAACGGGGAGCAGCCCAGAGCCUGAAUCAGUGUGUGUGUUAGUGGAAGCGUCUGGAAAGGCGCGCGAUACAGGGUGACAGCCCCGUACACAAAAAUGCACAUGCUGUGAGCUCGAUGAGUAGGGCGGGACACGUGGUAUCCUGUCUGAAUAUGGGGGGACCAUCCUCCAAGGCUAAAUACUCCUGACUGACCGAUAGUGAACCAGUACCGUGAGGGAAAGGCGAAAAGAACCCCGGCGAGGGGAGUGAAAAAGAACCUGAAACCGUGUACG
RNAcentral lists this ribosomal RNA (524 nucleotides) under Escherichia coli. RNAcentral describes it as "partial 23S ribosomal RNA". It matches the Rfam family "Bacterial large subunit ribosomal RNA", at positions 1 to 564 of the family's 2925-position model. Lineage: Bacteria; Pseudomonadati; Pseudomonadota; Gammaproteobacteria; Enterobacterales; Enterobacteriaceae. The record is from RNAcentral.